This is a long non-coding RNA of Gekko japonicus, 358 nucleotides long. RefSeq lists it as uncharacterized. NCBI's taxonomy places the organism in Eukaryota, Metazoa, Chordata, Lepidosauria, Squamata, Gekkonidae. The record is from RefSeq and is a predicted model, not a curated record. The transcript has 4 exons.
CUCCAGAAACAACUACGCAAAUCUGUGGAAAUGCAAUCUAACAAGCCUGCACCUGGGCCUCCUCCUCAUGGCUACGGGGGGCCUGGAUACCCAGGACCACAGCCACCGUAUGGCUACCCUCAAUAUGCCCCUGGACUAGGUUUUCAAGGAGCUCCAGGUGCUCCAGGACAGCCUCCUUAUAAUUUCCAAGGUUAUCAGCCAUCUUAUGGAGCUCCACCUCCCCAAGGUCAACCUAAUGCACCUGGUGUCACAAUUUGGAUGCCAGCACCACCUCCAAUUCCGAACUGUCCUCCUGGAUUAGAAUAUUUAAGCCAGAUUGAUCAGAUAUUAAUUCAUCAGCAGAUUGAACUUCUGGAAG